Molecule: ribosomal RNA, 498 nt
Filed under: uncultured bacterium
Lineage: Bacteria
Description: partial 16S ribosomal RNA
Rfam family: Bacterial small subunit ribosomal RNA
Source: RNAcentral
AUUGAACGCUGGCGGCAUGCCUUACACAUGCAAGUCGAACGGUAACAGGUCUUCGGAUGCUGACGAGUGGCGAACGGGUGAGUAAUACAUCGGAACGUGCCUAGUAGUGGGGGAUAACUACUCGAAAGAGUGGCUAAUACCGCAUUAGAUCUACGGAUGAAAGAAGGGGAACGCAAGACCUUGUGCUACUAGAGCGGCCGAUGGCAGAUUAGGUAGUUGGUGGGAUAAAAGCUUACCAAGCCGACGAUCUGUAGCUGGUCUGAGAGGACGAUCAGCCACACUGGGACUGAGACACGGCCCAGACUCCUACGGGAGGCAGCAGUGGGGAAUUUUGGACAAUGGGCGCAAGCCUGAUCCAGCAAUGCCGCGUGCAGGAUGAAGGCCUUCGGGUUGUAAACUGCUUUUGUACGGAACGAAAAGCCCCGGGUUAAUACCCUGGGGUCAUGACGGUACCGUAAGAAUAAGCACCGGCUAACUACGUGCCAGCCGCCGCGGUAA